Long non-coding RNA from Myripristis murdjan (pinecone soldierfish), 1067 nucleotides. RefSeq lists it as uncharacterized. The record is from RefSeq and is a predicted model, not a curated record. The transcript has 3 exons. Lineage: Eukaryota; Metazoa; Chordata; Actinopteri; Holocentriformes; Holocentridae.
AUGAUAAAAAGGAAGAGGACCAGCAGAGACACAGAAGAGGCAGCCAUGUUUGCUUCUGUGGAUCAAAAGGACAGAUCUGUGGGGGACAAUGCUACGUGGACACAAGCCACAACCUGGUCGAUACCAACUGGGUAACAUGGGAGAGGAUGUCUCAGGAAACAUCACUGGCAUCAAAAUUGGAAAAAUUCCAACAUUUCCAUCAACUGUUUACCAGCGGUGCUGACAGUCACAGGUGGCCACUAAUCCCCCUUUACUGUCCUCCAGUCAUCCUUCAUCAGGGGUCUCAGCCUGUGUGAUAAGGAGAAUCUCAGCACAGAGCUGCUGCUCCCCUGCACUUACAGCAGCCAGCUGAGGUGGUUUGGGCAUCUGAUUAAUGAAGCACUUGGGAUGUCUCCCUUUUGAGGUGUACAAGACAUGUCUGACUGGGAUGGGGCAGAUCCAGGACAUGUUAGUGGGAUUACAUUUCUCAGCUGCCCUGAAAAUGUCUUAGGAUCCCCCAUGUGGAGCUGGUAGUGGCUCUUUGGGAAGGAGAGGCCUGCACUGCACUGCUAGACCUGUUGCCACCACAACUCUCCCAAAGUGUAAGCGACUUCAAAAUGGAUGGAUGGAUUGAUUGAAGGGAUGAUGGGCGGAUGGUGAUAAUUGUACAUACCCAAGGACUUGUUGCCAUCUUUACCCAACCUCUUAUUGUCACAGAGACAUACUCUCAACCCUGACUGGCUUGGAGCUGACAUUCUCUCUAAAAGCACUGUUGAGAGCCUCUGUUGCCCAUGACAACCCAGGGUACCUGGAAUCAGCAGAUCUCAUUUAGCACCUCUCCAGUUAAUUUGUGGUGCUAUUCAGUCAGAGUUGUUUCAGUGGGAACUGUCCAUCCCAUGUCUUGUUAGAAUAAACCUGAAUGUCACAGACUUCCUGGUAUCUGUCUAAACACUCUCUGAUUAGCAUUAGACUGUACACCUUGCAUGUCUGUAUGAAAUGUGCUGAGACUAAAAUAUGUGCUGCCACCAAAAUAUAAGAUCAUUUACACAGAGGUGGCUUUUUUAUUAGAUAUGAAUUGAUUGAUGAAA